CCUACAAUGAAAUUUGCGAAGUUUUUUCGGUUUCGGCGCCAUUUUCGAGUGGACUCGGAGUGUUGAGAAAAAACUGUGGAUCCUGGAAUUUUACUGUGGAUUUUACUGGUUUUCUGGAGUGCUCUCCCACUGAAGCAGCAGUCUGGCUCUCCAGAGUGGCUGUGCAGGAGCUGAUGUGCCUGUGUUGAGGUGAGUUGGGAAGGUAAGCUCACGUCCCACCUGCUCCAAAAUACCUGCAGCAUCUGUGUCCCUCUGGGUAAAUGCAGUCCCUCUGACACACAUGUCCCUUCUUGGUACUGCAGGUAAUACCUGGGAGAUGCUCAGGUGAACUCAAAUUACCCUGUUCAGCUGGCAAUUUCUGAUGUAAAGUUGAGUUUACAGAGCACAAACUAAGUUUGAAAGAAGCUGAAGUUGGAGAUGGGAUAAUUCAAGCAUGGAACUUUUUAUUGCAUGAAAUAUUGAUGCAGUCAUGUCAUAAACGUGCAUAUUUUCUCAGAUAUUUGCCUAUCCCAAAUUUCCAGUUACCCAACACUUGGUGUGACUGUUGAUUUCCCCUCUGUGCUAGAGGCUGGUGGAGGUGUAUUGAACCCUUGCUUUAAAAAUCCUCCUUACUGAAAAGAGCUCUUGCCCUUGUUGAACUAGGCAAAAGUCUGGUUUAUAUAAAUAUAAAAAACAUUAAUUAAAAUGUAAACCUCAGGCCACUAUCAAAAUGGAUUCUAAAGCUGAACGUGUUUGCUGUUGCUUUUUUCUUUUGGAUUCAUUUGAAGAGAUGAAAGAAAUAAGAUUGCACAGGUAGAGUCGAGUAAAACAUCGUUGCAGAAGUAAUUAAUGGUAAUAUUUUGUGGGGGGUGUUUUGAUUUAGCUGGUCCAGGCUGAACACUGGGCACGUGUUUGCUUUGCAGCAAGUAGCAGCUGCUCAUGAGGGAGUUGGCCCUGGUGCUGUCAGUGUUGAGGACACUGAAGUGGUGAAAAUAUACUGUUUUUUUGUUGGCAAAUAUUUGAUUUCAAAUUUGAAAUUGCUUGGCAUGAGUCACGAGAGCUUUUGAGAAUCCUAUUUUUAAGUUUGCAGGAGAGGCAGGGACUCGGUGGCGCGUCGGGCACGAGGGGAUGGCACAAGAAUUCAAACCCAGGGCGUCAUUUCUGACAUUGUUCAGGUUUUUUUGUGAUGCUGCUUUUUAAGAAAAUGAAUUGAAGGAAGUUGUCCCAUAACUGGUGGGGCGGGGGGGUUGAAGGUUGAAAGGAAAUACAAAAAAUAUCAGUCUGUCUGCACGGCUCCUGUGCAGCCCAGGCAGGCUGGUGUGUGAGUGCCACUGGCUGCAGCCCCUCCCUGCCCUGCUCUGGUGCUUUCUGCUCUGGUACAGGCAGGAAAUGUGAUGAAGUUCCAGAGAUCUUUAAUUUCUGAUCAUAUAAGGCUUGUCCAUUCACAUGGUAAAUAAGCAUUUUAUACUCGUCUUAAAAAUAAGGAUUUUUUUUAUGUUUCUCAGAAGUCAAAUUGAGCUGAAUGCAAGUAUUUUAAGCAAAAUUUAACAGGUUUCAACUGUUGGAAUAUGGAUUUAUUUAUCUGAAAUGUUAACAUUGUGACUUCUGGAAAAUCCAUAAUGUUCAGCAUCACUUAAGAGGAAAGUACAAGGUAAUAUUUCCCCACAGACCAGUUGGAAGGGCUAUGAAGUUCUGCAGGCUCUUCACAGUAGCAAAAGCAACAGAUCUUCUGGAUCUAAAAGUGUGCUAUUUGUUGGGACUCAAUACUAAGUGUGGUUUGGGGGAAACAGGUAAUUUCUGACCUUGUUUCUGAAAUUGGUUUGUUUGCACUGUAUAACUGCUUGUUCUCUUAUAGUUACAGACUGUCUGAUAGCACCUGUGAAGAAAAAACCCUGUCCUGUGGUGGUAAUGCAUGCAUGUUAAAUGUCUUCAUUGUAGAGCGUUCUUCAGUUCUUUAUAUCAUGGCUUAAAAAAAAUUAUAUAUAUAUAUAUUCAAAAUA
Molecule: long non-coding RNA, 1979 nt
Organism: Passer montanus (Eurasian tree sparrow)
Lineage: Eukaryota; Metazoa; Chordata; Aves; Passeriformes; Passeridae
Exons: 3
Source: RefSeq, a predicted model, not a curated record